UGAACGCUGGCGGCGUGCCUAAUACAUGCAAGUCGAACGAAGAGCUUCUGGUAAUUUAUUAUUGGAUGUCUCUUAGUGGCGAACGGGUGAGUAACGCGUUGGUGACCUGCCCCGAAAUGUGGGAUAACUCCGGGAAACUGGAGCUAAUACCGCAUGUGGUCUGUGGAUUUAGAAACCACUGACUAAAGGUCUUCGGAUCGUUUCGGGAGGGGCCUGCGUCCCAUCAGCUAGUUGGUAGGGUAAUGGCCUACCAAGGCGACGACGGGUAGGGGACCUGAGAGGGUGAUCCCCCACAAUGGAACUGAAACACGGUCCAUACAUCUACGGAUGGCAGCAGUAGGGAAUAUUGCCCAAUGGACGAAAGUCUGAGGCAGCAACGCCGCGUGUGCGAUGAAGGCCUUCGGGUUGUAAAGCACUUUUCUGAGGGAAGAGGAAGGACGGUACCUCAGGAAUAAGUCUCGGCUAACUAC
This 470-nucleotide ribosomal RNA is filed under the name uncultured bacterium. RNAcentral describes it as "bacterial SSU rRNA". It matches the Rfam family "Bacterial small subunit ribosomal RNA", at positions 30 to 504 of the family's 1533-position model. The record is from RNAcentral.